CACGUAGGAGACUAGCGUUAUCCGGAUUUACUGGGCGUAAAGCGCGUGCAGGUGGCUCGGAAAGUUCGAUGUGAAAGCUCCCGGCUUAACUGGGAGAGGUCGUUGAAUACUUUCGGGCUAGAGGAUGGGAGAGGGAGGCGGAAUUCCGGGUGUAGUGGUGAAAUGCGUAGAUAUCCGGAGGAACACCAGUGGCGAAAGCGGCCUCCUGGCCCAUUUCUGACACUCAGACGCGAAAGCUAGGGUAGCAAACGGGAUUAGAGACCCCGGUAGUCCUAGCUGUAAACGAUGUAGACUUGGCGUUGGCGGGUUCAAAUCCGUCAGUGCCGAAGCUAACGCGAUAAGUCUACCGCCUGGGGACUACGGCCGCAAGGUUAAA
RNAcentral lists this ribosomal RNA (376 nucleotides) under uncultured bacterium. RNAcentral describes it as "bacterial SSU rRNA". It matches the Rfam family "Bacterial small subunit ribosomal RNA", at positions 524 to 898 of the family's 1533-position model. The record is from RNAcentral.